GGGGGUAUGGCUCAGUUGGUAGAGCAUCGCACUGUCCCUGCGAAGGUCACGGGUUCAAGCCCCGUUGCCCCCGCCA
This 76-nucleotide transfer RNA is filed under the name Rickettsiales bacterium. RNAcentral's name for it is "tRNA-Asp". It matches the Rfam family "tRNA". From Rfam's summary of the family: Transfer RNA (tRNA) molecules are approximately 80 nucleotides in length. Their secondary structure includes four short double-helical elements and three loops (D, anti-codon, and T loops). Lineage: Bacteria; Pseudomonadati; Pseudomonadota; Alphaproteobacteria; Rickettsiales. The record is from RNAcentral.